AUUGAACGCUGGCGGCAGGCCUAACACAUGCAAGUCGAACGGUAGCACAGAGAGCUUGCUCUCGGGUGACGAGUGGCGGACGGGUGAGUAACGUCUGGGAAACUGCCCGAUGGAGGGGGAUAACUACUGGAAACGGUAGCUAAUACCGCAUAACGUCGCAAGACCAAAGUGGGGGACCUUCGGGCCUCACACCAUCGGAUGUGCCCAGAUGGGAUUAGCUAGUAGGUGGGGUAAUGGCUCACCUAGGCGACGAUCCCUAGCUGGUCUGAGAGGAUGACCAGCCACACUGGAACUGAGGCACGGUCCAGACUCCUACGGGAGGCAGCAGUGGGGAAUAUUGCACAAUAGGCGCAAGCCUGAUGCAGCCAUGCCGCGUGUAUGAAGAAGGCCUUCGGGUUGUAAAGUACUUUCAGCGGGGAGGAAGGCGGUGGAGUUAAUAACUUCACCGAUUGACGUUACCCGCAGAAGAAGCACCGGCUAACUCCGUGCCAGCCGCCGCCGUAA
This 504-nucleotide ribosomal RNA is filed under the name uncultured bacterium. RNAcentral describes it as "partial 16S ribosomal RNA". It matches the Rfam family "Bacterial small subunit ribosomal RNA", at positions 30 to 523 of the family's 1533-position model. The record is from RNAcentral.